This 74-nucleotide transfer RNA is filed under the name Camelus dromedarius (Arabian camel). It matches the Rfam family "tRNA". Rfam says of the family: Transfer RNA (tRNA) molecules are approximately 80 nucleotides in length. Their secondary structure includes four short double-helical elements and three loops (D, anti-codon, and T loops). The record is from Rfam by way of RNAcentral. RNAcentral also lists the same sequence under 1 other name. Lineage: Eukaryota; Metazoa; Chordata; Mammalia; Artiodactyla; Camelidae.
GAGGGUAUAGCUCAACUGGUAGAGUGCACGCUUAACAUGCACAGAGAUCCUGGGUUCAAACCCCAGUACCUCCU